RNAcentral lists this ribosomal RNA (460 nucleotides) under uncultured bacterium. RNAcentral describes it as "partial 16S ribosomal RNA". It matches the Rfam family "Bacterial small subunit ribosomal RNA", at positions 338 to 795 of the family's 1533-position model. The record is from RNAcentral.
CCUACGGGCGGCAGCAGUGAGGAAUAUUGGUCAAUGGACGAGAGUCUGAACCAGCCAAGUAGCGUGAAGGAUGACUGCCCUAUGGGUUGUAAACUUCUUUUAUAUGGGAAUAAAAUGUUCCACGUGUGGGAUUUUGUAUGUACCAUAUGAAUAAGGAUCGGCUAACUCCGUGCCAGCAGCCGCGGUAAUACGGAGGAUCCGAGCGUUAUCCGGAUUUAUUGGGUUUAAAGGGAGCGUAGGUGGAGUGUUAAGUCAGUUGUGAAAGUUUGCGGCUCAACCGUAAAAUUGCAGUUGAAACUGGCAGUCUUGAGUACAGUAGAGGUGGGCGGAAUUCGUGGUGUAGCGGUGAAAUGCUUAGAUAUCACGAAGAACUCCGAUUGCGAAGGCAGUUCACUGGACUGCAACUGACACUGAGGCUCGAAAGUGUGGGUAUCAAACAGGAUUAGAUACCCGAGUAGUC